Molecule: ribosomal RNA, 254 nt
Filed under: uncultured bacterium
Lineage: Bacteria
Description: partial 16S ribosomal RNA
Rfam family: Bacterial small subunit ribosomal RNA
Source: RNAcentral
GACGGAGGAUGCAAGUGUUAUCCGGAAUCACUGGGCGUAAAGCGUCUGUAGGUGGUUUAAAAAGUCCACUGUUAAAGAUUGAAGCUUAACUUCAAAAAUGCCGUGGAAACUUUUAAACUUGAGUAUGAUAGGGGUAGAGGGAAUUUCCAGUGGAGCGGUGAAAUUGCGUAGAUAUUGGAAAGACCACCAAUGGCGAAGGCACUCUACUGGACCAUUACUGACGCUGAGGCGCGAAAGCGUGGGGAGCAAACAGG